ACUCCUACGGGAGGCAGCAGUGGGAAUAUUGCACAAUGGGCGCAAGCCUGAUGCAGCCAUGCCGCGUGUAUGAAGAAGGCCUUCGGGUUGUAAAGUACUUUCAGCAGUGAGGAAGGUAGUGUAGUUAAUAGCUGCAUUAUUUGACGUUAGCUGCAGAAGAAGCACCGGCUAACUCCGUGCCAGCAGCCGCGGUAAUACGGAGGGUGCGAGCGUUAAUCGGAAUUACUGGGCGUAAAGCGCAUGCAGGUGGUUUGUUAAGCGAGAUGUGAAAGCCCGGC
Molecule: ribosomal RNA, 278 nt
Filed under: uncultured bacterium
Lineage: Bacteria
Description: partial 16S ribosomal RNA
Rfam family: Bacterial small subunit ribosomal RNA
Source: RNAcentral